UACGUAGGGUGCAAGCGUUGUCCGGAAUUAUUGGGCGUAAAGAGCUCGUAGGCGGUUUGUCGCGUCGGAUGUGAAAACUUGGGGCUCAACCCCAAGCCUGCAUUCGAUACGGGCAAACUAGAGUUCGGUAGGGGAGACUGGAAUUCCUGGUGUAGCGGUGAAAUGCGCAGAUAUCAGGAGGAACACCGAUGGCGAAGGCAGGUCUCUGGGCCGAUACUGACGCUGAGGAGCGAAAGCGUGGGGAGCGAACAGGAUUAGAUACCCUGGUAGUCCACGCCGUAAACGGUGGGCGCUAGGUGUGGGGCACAUUCCACGUGUUCUGCGCCGCAGCUAACGCAUUAAGCGCCCCGCCUGGGGAGUACGGCCGCAAGGCUA
This 375-nucleotide ribosomal RNA is filed under the name uncultured prokaryote. Its description in RNAcentral is "bacterial SSU rRNA". It matches the Rfam family "Bacterial small subunit ribosomal RNA", at positions 524 to 896 of the family's 1533-position model. The record is from RNAcentral.